CGCGGCCUAUCAGCUUGUUGGUGAGGUAACGGCUCACCAAGGCAUCGACGGGUAGCUGGUCUGAGAGGAUGAUCAGCCACACUGGGACUGAGACACGGCCCAGACUCCUACGGGAGGCAGCAGUGGGGAAUAUUGCACAAUGGGCGCAAGCCUGAUGCAGCAACGCCGCGUGCGGGAAGACGGCCCUAGGGUUGUAAACCGCUUUCAGCAGGGAAGAAACUGACGGUACCUGCAGAAGAAGGUGCGGCCAACUACGUGCCAGCAGCCGCGGUGACACGUAGGCACCAAGCGUUGUCCGGAUUUAUUGGGCGUAAAGAGCUCGUAGGCGGUUCAGUAAGUCGGGUGUGAAAACUCUGGGCUCAACCCAGAGAGGCCACCCGAUACUGCUGUGACUCGAGUGCGGUAGGGGAGCGGGGAAUUCCUGGUGUAGCGGUGAAAUGCGCAGAUAUCAGGAGGAACACCAGUGGCGAAGGCGCCGCUCUGGGCCGUAACUGACGCUGAGGAGCGAAAGCGUGGGUAGCAAACAGGAUUAGAUACCCUGGUAGUCCACGCCGUAAACGUUGGGCACUAGGUGUGGGUCUCAACCAACGAGAUCCGCGCCGUCGCUAACGCAUUAAGUGCCCCGCCUGGGGAGUACGG
RNAcentral lists this ribosomal RNA (639 nucleotides) under uncultured Ilumatobacter sp. RNAcentral describes it as "bacterial SSU rRNA". It matches the Rfam family "Bacterial small subunit ribosomal RNA", at positions 232 to 885 of the family's 1533-position model. The record is from RNAcentral. Lineage: Bacteria; Bacillati; Actinomycetota; Acidimicrobiia; Acidimicrobiales; Ilumatobacteraceae.